This 1112-nucleotide long non-coding RNA is filed under the name Chrysolophus pictus (golden pheasant). RNAcentral describes it as "lncRNA (ENSCPIG00010002369.1)". The record is from RNAcentral. Lineage: Eukaryota; Metazoa; Chordata; Aves; Galliformes; Phasianidae.
GAGACCUCCACGGUCCGGACGUAUUCGUGCUGAGGAUCAGUGUGAUGGGAGCCAGCCCGGCCCUGGCACAUCCCCACUGUCCAUCCGGCCAAGUGCCAGCUGCCUUUCAGGACGAGGCCAGGGCUCAGCCUGUGCCUGUUUCUCGGCCCGAACCAACAGAUGUCGCAGUGCUACUGCCAUGGACCGAAAAGGCUGCUCUCCCUUCUGCUUGUGCACCCCACUGCUGUCCCUGGCUCCCCGUGCCUCCCGCCUGUGGCUGUUCUGCCCACCCCACCUCGCACCAGCCAGGCUCUGGAUGUGCUCACCAGGUGCCUGUUCCAUCCCUGGUGGAAGUGCAGCCCAUCAGAGAAGCGGAGAUGCCCCAGAAGUGGGCUGCAAUAUUUGGAAACCUUUCUCCUGCCUGGUUCAUGUUGCCAAUAUGCCAUAGACUGUCACACCAGCUCACCGGAGCCCCGGGCAUCGUGAGGAGGGUUCAGGCUCAGCUCUGCGUGAAAAUCCUGACGUUGGGGGAGAUGGCCAAGGAGCUGCCCUGGGUGGGACAGAGGGGCUGAAGCCAGUGCCAGGAUGGACGCUGCACAGGACAGAGUGGGGAGUGGCUGCUGUGGGUGCAAGGAGCAUUCUGAGGUGCUGGUUAGGGCAUUUUGGGGUGUGCUGUGCCCUAAAGUGGGGAAGGGUUGGACUGCCCCAGUCUGGCUUGCUGCUGGCCUGGAUGCUGUCAGGCCUGACCUUGGGGACCAGGGGGACACAGCAGGGGUACCCAGCACCCUGGGACCACCCGUCCCUUCCCUCCAGGUGCAGAGGAGAUGCUCUCCCCUCCUGCCUCCAAGCUACGGGCAGGGGUGAUCCAGGAGGCUCUCAGCCCUUCCCAUUUCUCCCCGUAGGGUAGGAUCUCUUCAUCUCCUCAUGCCACGUUUGCCUUGUGUGGCCCCUAUUUCUGAUGUGAUAUUUAUUGAUGGCUGGAAUGACCUAUACUUAUCAUGUGCUGUCUGGAAGUGCAAUAUCUGAGAGGCUAUACAGUCACAAUGUCUUUUCGGUGUAUUAUUUGCCUAAUACAGUAUUAAAUAUUUUUUUAAUUUGAAGAGUUGGUGAACCCUUUCUAUCAAUGCCCUACU